Non-coding RNA from Cadophora malorum, 83 nucleotides. The record is from the annotation of a GenBank genome assembly. Lineage: Eukaryota; Fungi; Ascomycota; Leotiomycetes; Helotiales; Ploettnerulaceae.
GCCGGUUUAGCUCAGGGGUAGAGCGCAUCACUUGUAUUACAAGAAAAAUGAUGAGGUCGCUAGUUCGAAUCUGGUAAUCGGUA